ACGUACAUACAUACAUAUAUACAUACACACACACACACACACACAUAUACACACAUAUAUAUAUACACACAUACAUGUGUGUGUGUAUAUAUGACGAUAUCUGUGUACGUUUGUUAUGUAACAGGGACAUAUGACCGUGACAAAUUUUGUACGUUGUUAAAUAAGGAAGAAUUACGUUCAUAACUAAGUAUGUUUGUUACGAAAUAAGGAAAUGUAACUUAAAGUUUGUUUUGUUUUAAUGACGAGUUUUUAUAUUAGUGUAAACUGAUUUAUAUGGCGUGAUUAUAGCUAUAUGCACUGGUUAGGUCAAAAGUCAUAUUCAACGUUGUCUCAAAUACAUCUCUGUACACAAACUUAAACGACUGCCCAAAAUGUUUAAUAUCAACGAAAACCACGUUCAUUUCUUGUUUUACUUUACAUGCAAUGCUGCUAAAUAGUUUAUGUUGAUAUUCAGAGGCCAUUUCCUGAUGACUAUGUUGAUAUUCAGAGGCCAUUUCCUGAUGACUAUGUUGAUAUUCAGAGGCCAUUUCAUGAUGACUAUUUGAUUAAAAUUGUGUCUCAUGUGAUAGGCCUACCAAAUCCUGUCGUGUAGACGUGUCCAAACAUUUGCAUAAUUCUCGUGAAAACACCCGACUUGACAGUUGUGCACACCCGUAGGAACGAUAUCUGUAGGGGGGGGGGGGGGGGGGGGGACUCUAAUGCGGGUGUCGCAGGCCCCUCCCCCGUUCCCGGUUCCCAGUGUAUGACAUGGCAAUCCCGUCACGUUUGAUAAAUUAAUUAAUUCGUUUAGUACAUGGUAAACAACAAGGAUGUCCAUGCUUUACUCACGUGUUCUGUUGUCUGAAUGAUUAUUUUAUUGUUAACUGCUUUCUUGUAUUCAUUAUUUAUUUCCAGCUAACCCGCCGGAGUUGCAUAAUGUCAUACUGUUACAGUAAACUAUAUUAACAUCCCUAUACCAGCAACGAUUAGCUUUUACAGUAAACUAUAUAUUAACAUCCCUAUACCAGCAACGAUUAGCUUUUUUUUAGUAACUGGGAACGCUUUACAGCUAGCGCGGACUGGAAACAUAACACACGUGGUCUCAGUCAAAUACCAGCAAUGGUUAGCUAGUAACUGGAAAGGUAUUUCACUUAGCGCUAACUGGAAACAUAACAUACGUAGGCCGAGUCAAAUACCAGCAAUGGUUAGCUAGUAACUGGAAAGGUUUUUCACUUAGCGCUAACUGGAAACAUAACAUACGUAGGCCGAGUCAAAUACCAGCAAUGGUUAGCUAGUAACUGGAAAGGUUUUUCACUUAGCGCUAACUGGAAACAUAACAUACGUAGGCCGAGUCAAAUACCAGCAAUGGUUAGCUAGUAACUGGAAAGGUUUUUCACUUAGCGCUAAUUGGAAACAUAACACACGUGGUCUCAGUCAAAUACCAGCAAUGGUUAGCUAGUAACUGGAAACGUUUUUCACUUAGCGCUAACUGGAAACAUAACAUACGUAGGCCGAGUCAAAUACCAGCAAUGGUUAGCUAGUAACUGGAAAGGUUUUUCACUUAGCGCUAACUGGAAACAUAACAUACGUGGUCUCAGUCAAAUACCAGCAAUGGUUAGCUAGUAACUGGAAAGGUUUUUCACUUAGCGCUAACUGGAAACAUAACAUACGUAGGCCGAGUCAAAUACCAGCAAUGGUUAGCUAGUAACUGGAAAGGUUUUUCACUUAGCGCUAACUGGAAACAUAACAUACGUAGGCCGAGUCAAAUACCAGCAAUGGUUAGCUAGUAACUGGAAAGGUUUUUCACUUAGCGCUAAUUGGAAACAUAACACACGUGGUCUCAGUCAAAUACCAGCAAUGGUUAGCUAGUAACUGGAAACGUUUUUCACUUAGCGCUAACUGGAAACAUAACAUACGUAGGCCGAGUCAAAUACCAGCAAUGGUUAGCUAGUAACUGGAAAGGUUUUUCACUUAGCGCUAACUGGAAACAUAACAUACGUGGUCUCAGUCAAAUACCAGCAAUGGUUAGCUAGUAACUGGAAAGGUUUUUCACUUAGCGCUAACUGGAAACAUAACAUACGUAGGCCAAGUCAAAUACCAGCAAUGGUUAGCUAGUAACUGGAAAGGUUUUUCGCAUAUCGCUAACUGGAAACAUAACAGACGUAGGCCGAGUCAAAUACCAGCAAUGGUUAGCUAGUAACUGGGAAGGUUUGUCGCAUAUCGCUAACUGGAAACAUAACACACGUGGUCUCAGUCAAAUACCAGCAAUGGUUAGCUAGUAACUGGGAAGGUUUUUCACUUAGCGCUAACUGGAAACAUAACACACGUGGUCUCAGUCAAAUACCAGCAAUGGUUAGCUAGUAACUGGAAAGGUUUUUCACUUAGCGCUAACUGGAAACAUAACAUACGUAGGCCGAGUCAAAUACCAGCAAUGGUUAGCUAGUAACUGGAAAGGUUUUUCACUUAGCGCUAACUGGAAACAUAACACACGUGGUCUCGGUCAAAUACCAGCAAUGGUUAGCUAGUAACUGGAAACGUUUUUCACUUAGCGCUAACUGGAAACAUAACAUACGUAGGCCGAGUCAAAUACCAGCAAUGGUUAGCUAGUAACUGGGAAGGUUUGUCGCAUAUCGCUAACUGGAAACAUAACACACGUGGUCUCAGUCAAAUACCAGCAAUGGUUAGCUAGUAACUGGAAAGGUUUGUCGCAUAUCGCUAACUGGAAACAUAACACACGUGGUCUCAGUCAAAUACCAGCAGUGGUUAGCUAGUAACUGGGAAGGUUUUUCGCAUAUCGCUAACUGGAAACAUAACACACGUGGUCUCAGUCAAAUACCAGCAAUGGUUAGCUAGUAACUGGGAAGGUUUUUCGCAUAUCGCUAACUGGAAACAUAACACACGUGGUCUCAGUCAAAUACCAGCAAUGGUUAGCUAGUAACUGGAAAGGUUUUUCACUUAGCGCUAACUGGAAACAUAACACACGUGGUCUCAGUCAAGUACUAGGAAUGGUUAGCUAGUAACUGGAAAGGUUUUUCGCAUAUCGUAAACUGGAAACAUAACACACGUGGUCUCAGUCAAGUACCAGGAAUGGUUAGCUAGUAACUGGGAAGGUUUUUCGCAUAUCGUAAACUGGAAACAUAACACACGUGGUCUAGGUCAAAUACCAGCAAUGGUUAGCUAGUAACUGGAAAGGUUUUUCGCAUAUCGCAAACUGGAAACAUAACCCACGUGGUCUAGGUCAAAUACCAGCAAUGGUUAGCUAGUAACUGGAAAGGUUUUUCGCAUAUCGCAAACUGGAAACAUAACAUACGUAGGCCGAGUCAAAUACCAGCAAUGGUUAGCUAGUAACUGGGAAGGUUUGUCGCAUAUCGCUAACUGGAAACAUAACACACGUGGUCUCAGUCAAGUACCAGGAAUGGUUAGCUAGUAACUGGGAAGGUUUGUCGCAUAUCGCAAACUGGAAACAUAACAUACGUAGGCCGAGUCAAAUACCAGCAAUGGUUAGCUAGUAACUGGAAACGUUUUCAGCUAGCACUGACUGGAAAGGGGAAAAUACGUGUGGUCAGUCAGACGGGUUAUCAUUUUGUCUAUGCAAUGAGGUCUUGCCAGCGGGCGAUAGCGUCUUCGUGUACGCUGGUUACUGGAAAUAUCAAAUAACUUAACAUUUUGUUGGUCUGCGAGUCGUCUUCUAGAAUAAACAAUAUGUUUCAAA
Gigantopelta aegis is the source of this 3691-nucleotide long non-coding RNA. RefSeq lists it as uncharacterized. The record is from RefSeq and is a predicted model, not a curated record. The transcript is spliced from 5 exons. Lineage: Eukaryota; Metazoa; Mollusca; Gastropoda; Neomphalida; Peltospiridae.